GACAGAGGAUGCAAGCGUUAUCCGGAAUGAUUGGGCGUAAAGCGUCUGUAGGUGGCUUUUUAAGUCCGCCGUCAAAUCCCAGGGCUCAACCCUGGACAGGCGGUGGAAACUACCAAGCUGGAGUACGGUAGGGGCAGAGGGAAUUUCCGGUGGAGCGGUGAAAUGCGUAGAGAUCGGAAAGAACACCAAUGGCGAAGGCAGCUCGCUGGGACGUUACUGACGCUGAGACGCGAAAGCGUGGGGAGCAAACAGG
Molecule: ribosomal RNA, 253 nt
Filed under: uncultured bacterium
Lineage: Bacteria
Description: partial 16S ribosomal RNA
Rfam family: Bacterial small subunit ribosomal RNA
Source: RNAcentral